Polypterus senegalus (gray bichir) is the source of this 278-nucleotide long non-coding RNA. RefSeq lists it as uncharacterized. The transcript is spliced from 3 exons. The record is from RefSeq and is a predicted model, not a curated record. NCBI's taxonomy places the organism in Eukaryota, Metazoa, Chordata, Cladistia, Polypteriformes, Polypteridae.
AUUGUGCCCAUGACAAAUAGUGUCACUUUUAAGCAGCAGUAUGCUUGCAUUCUAAGUUUGUAACAUACACCUUAUCUGUAAUGGCAGGAAUAUGGAGACUGCAAAUGUGAUUCUUCAGACAUUUUGCCUCAGAAUACCUUGAUCCUGCAUCACUCCUUUAUCUAAUGGGCUUAAAGAAAGACUACGGGUAUCCUUUUAGUGGUGGUUUGCACCACCACCAUCUAUUCAAAGCAUCGUGAUGUUCCAACAAUGAUGGAUAGAUUAAAAGCCAGAAGUCU